CUCGAUGGCGCUGCAAAUGUUUCCACCAAUGGAGAAGAUGAAUGAGGGCGCUGCCUUCACUCUGUGAGGCUGAGGUUGCUAAACCGGCGAAGAACCUAGGAAGGCAUCAAAAGUCUGCUCUGCUUGACUCGGUCAGAGAAAGUGAAUGCGAGUGUAGGUUCGAAUGACAAGGCCGAGUUGCUUUCCCCGUCUUCAACCGCUGCAACUUCAUUCUUGUUGCUACAGGUUCGUCUUUGCUGUGGCUUGGAGAGAGAGACAAACACCACAUCUGGAUUCAGAUUUUGUGCAUCUGCGGGUCUUCCUUUCGUUUGUGGGUGAUUGUGCAACUUUUAUGAGAGGAAGAAGAAGAGUCAACGGAAAAGAAGGUGUUUGCAGACGAGGUCGCGUGGCUGACUUGGAGGUCCACUUGUUUCGGGUGUGCGCACCAUGUGUUGCAGGUGGGGUUUUGCUGUGCAAUGCCUUUUGGUCACAGUUUUCCCUUGGUGGUGACGUUGGCGUAGUGCUCACCUUUGUAAUAUGGCUUUGUAACCAAAUCAUUUCUUUAAAGAAAUAAAAUAUUCAUAUCUUGAAUUUGCUAUUUAUUCUUCAAAGUGUUUGUGUUUUUGUUGGUGAUGUGACUGUACUUGAUGUUUUGAAGU
Malus domestica (apple) is the source of this 638-nucleotide non-coding RNA. NCBI's taxonomy places the organism in Eukaryota, Viridiplantae, Streptophyta, Magnoliopsida, Rosales, Rosaceae. The record is from RefSeq and is a predicted model, not a curated record.